GAUUUCUGGUUCGACAUGCCCGACCUAGUGUGGCGACACAUUAAGUGUCGGUGUGUGUCUGCCAUCUUUGCCAGAGAACGGCGCCUCCCUUAAAUGGGCCGGCGUCGCCAUCUGGAUCAUUUACUUUGAAAAAAUUAGAGUGUUUAAAGCAGGCGUUACGCUAUGAAUACAUUAGCAUGGAAUAAUAAUUUAGGACUUUGUUCUUAUUUUGUUGGUUUCUAAGGAUGAAGUAAUGAUUGAUAGGGAUCGUUGGGGGUGCUAGUAUUCAGCGGCCAGAGGUGAAAUUCUUGGAUUCGCUGAAGACUAACUUAUGCGAAAGCAUU
Molecule: ribosomal RNA, 323 nt
Filed under: Thecofilosea sp.
Lineage: Eukaryota; Cercozoa; Thecofilosea
Description: SSU rRNA
Rfam family: Eukaryotic small subunit ribosomal RNA (bases 103-323)
Source: RNAcentral